RNAcentral lists this ribosomal RNA (154 nucleotides) under uncultured bacterium. Its description in RNAcentral is "partial 16S ribosomal RNA". It matches the Rfam family "Bacterial small subunit ribosomal RNA", at positions 355 to 526 of the family's 1533-position model. The record is from RNAcentral.
UGGGGAAUAUUGGACAAUGGGCGCAAGCCUGAUCCAGCAAUGCCGCGUGAGUGAUGAAGGCCUUCGGGUUGUAAASCUCUUUUACCCGGGACGAUAAUGACGGUACCGGGAGAAUAAGCCCCGGCUAACUCCGUGCCAGCAGCCGCGGUAAUAA